AAGUCGUAACAAGGUUUCCGUAGGUGAACCUGCGGAAGGAUCAUUUUUGUAGGCAACUCUGCUCCGCAGAGUUGGUUACUACUCAUGCACCUGUGAACGCAGCGCAGCUGCACAUUUGCAUAUGCUUGUGGACAAUAAAGAGAACAACAGAAUACAACCUUUAGCAAUGGAUCUCUUGGCUUCU
Molecule: unclassified non-coding RNA, 184 nt
Filed under: fungal sp.
Lineage: Eukaryota; Fungi
Description: partial internal transcribed spacer region
Rfam family: Eukaryotic small subunit ribosomal RNA (bases 1-46)
Source: RNAcentral